UGUGCUGAUACUCCCAACUAUACAACGUCAUGGAAUCCAAGCCCUGGGCAUCCUGGAUGCCAGGCAAAUACUUUACCCAUGGCUAAAUAGUAAACACUUGGUUUCCUGGUGACGCCAACCAGAGUAUAAGCAUUCAAAUUUCACACCACAUUUCACAGUGUGAACCAGUUCAGGCACCAGCAUGGAAUGUUCUGGUGGACAGUACAGCUACCUUAACUGCCUGUGCUCUGCUCUCUGGCUGUCUAGCUAAUGCACCCAUGGCCAGGAGCAACCCAUUUGGGUAAGAUGUCACUUGCCAGGGCCAUCCUAGGAGAGGGGAGCUUUGACAGAACUUGGAUGUUUAGUUACAGGAUUCAUGCCUCAGUGUCUCAGACAAGACCUCAGAGGGAAUAGAAGGUGCCUUCUUGUUGGAGGGUAGCCCGCAAGGCAAGUUCCCACCUUAUCUGACACUGCCUGGAGCUCUUGUCUUCUCUGAAUAGCUUAUCAUCAGGUCUGCUCAGUCCUCUGGGGAGCAGCCCCACCCUUGAUGAGCCCAGGACUGGCUGGGUAGGACUACCUCUGUUUUCUACCUCCUACCCAGCGCUUUGGAGACCAAAAGUUCAUAUUCUAAGCAACUUAUAGAAGAGGGAAACCAUCCCUCCCUUGUCGGGUCACUGGGGAGAGGGACACUGAAGCUCACAUUCACUUGGAAAGCAUCUUGCUAGGCACUGAUGACAUCAGGCAGGAUCUCCUGAUGGAGUUGGUUUCCAGCCACAGAUACUGUUCUCCCUAGCAGCUGAUGUCAACCUGAACCAACCAAUGGGGAAAGCCCUCUGAGCUUCAUUGGCCAGUGCCAACUUACUUAGGACCUUCUUGCGAAGAGCUUGGGACAAAGACCUCAGACAAGGGAUGAAAGUGAACUUGUCCUAGUUCUGAAUGGACAUAUUUUAGAGCUGACUCAGAGCCUUCUAGAGCAAGUUCUAAUGGGACCAAGUGAAAUUGCAGCAGGAAGAGGAACCAAAGUGCGCUGACUUCCCAAGAUGCGACUUCAGAACACAAGUUGAGCAGAAAAACUAACUUGGGUGGUUCUUCCUGCCUCAGAAAAGAGCAAAAUAAAAGCCACACGGUCACUGCAAUGUCAUUAAAGAUGGCGGCCUGUUUGUACCUCAGAUGGUGCUGUGGUAAAGCCCAUGUUUCUCAGUUCUGAACUGCUGAGGACAAGAACCAUGUCUCAAGCUCAACCACGGCGGGGCAGUUCAUUAAGAUGGAGACCUUGCAGCUCAUUGCUUUGGAAGAGGGAAGAUGGAGAGACAAGGAGGAAAUGGGAG
This is a long non-coding RNA of Arvicola amphibius (Eurasian water vole), 1307 nucleotides long. RefSeq lists it as uncharacterized. NCBI's taxonomy places the organism in Eukaryota, Metazoa, Chordata, Mammalia, Rodentia, Cricetidae. The transcript has 3 exons. The record is from RefSeq and is a predicted model, not a curated record.